AGCGAACGCUGGCGGCAGGCUUAACACAUGCAAGUCGAGCGGGCACUUUCGGGUGUCAGCGGCGGACGGGUGAGUAACGCGUGGGAACGUGCCCUCUGGUUCGGAAUAACUCAGGGAAACUUGAGCUAAUACCGGAUACGCCCUUUUGGGGAAAGGCCUGCUGCCGGAGGAUCGGCCCGCGUCUGAUUAGCUAGUUGGUGAGGUAACGGCUCCCCAAGGCGACGAUCAGUAGCUGGUCUGAGAGGAUGAUCAGCCACACUGGGACUGAGACACGGCCCAGACUCCUACGGGAGGCAGCGGUGGGGAAUAUUGGACGAUUAGCGCAAGCCUGAUCCAGCCAUGCCGCGUGAGUGAUGAAGGCCUUAGGGUUGUAAAGCUCUUUUAUCCGGGACGAUAAUGACGGUACCGGAGCAAUAAGCCCCGGCUAACUUCGUG
This 435-nucleotide ribosomal RNA is filed under the name uncultured bacterium. RNAcentral describes it as "partial 16S ribosomal RNA". It matches the Rfam family "Bacterial small subunit ribosomal RNA", at positions 29 to 507 of the family's 1533-position model. The record is from RNAcentral.